GACGAACGCUGGCGGCGUGCCUAAUACAUGCAAGUCGAACGCUGAAGGAGGAGCUUGCUUUUCCGGAUGAGUUGCGAACGGGUGAGUAACGCGUAGGUAACCUGCCUGGUAGCGGGGGAUAACUAUUGGAAACGAUAGCUAAUACCGCAUAAGAGUAGAUGUUGCAUGACAUUUGCUUAAAAGGUGCAAUUGCAUCACUACCAGAUGGACCUGCGUUGUAUUAGCUAGUUGGUGGGGUAACGGCUUACCACGGCGACGAUACAUAGCCGACCUGAGAGGGUGGUCGGCCACACUGGGACUGAGACACGGCCCAGACUCCUACGGGAGGCAGCAGUAGGGAAUCUUCGGCAAUGGACGGAAGUCUGACCGAGCAACGCCGCGUGAGGGAAGAAGGGUUUCGGAUCGUAAAGCUCUGUUGUAAGGGAAGAACGAUUGUGGGAGUGGAAAGUUCACACUGUGACGGUAUCUUACCAGAAAGGGACGGCUAACUACGUG
RNAcentral lists this ribosomal RNA (495 nucleotides) under uncultured bacterium. Its description in RNAcentral is "partial 16S ribosomal RNA". It matches the Rfam family "Bacterial small subunit ribosomal RNA", at positions 28 to 507 of the family's 1533-position model. The record is from RNAcentral.